This 273-nucleotide ribosomal RNA is filed under the name uncultured bacterium. Its description in RNAcentral is "partial 16S ribosomal RNA". It matches the Rfam family "Bacterial small subunit ribosomal RNA", at positions 524 to 796 of the family's 1533-position model. The record is from RNAcentral.
UACGGAGGGUGCAAGCGUUAUCCGGAUUCACUGGGUUUAAAGGGUGCGUAGGAGGGCAGGUAAGUCAGUGGUGAAAUCUCCGGGCUCAACCCGGAAACUGCCAUUGAUACUAUUAGUCUUGAAUUUUGUUGAGGUAGGCGGAAUAAGUCAUGUAGCGGUGAAAUGCUUAGAUAUGACUUAGAACACCAAUUGCGAAGGCAGCUUGCUAAACAAACAUUGACGCUGAGGCACGAAAGCGUGGGGAUCAAACAGGAUUAGAAACCCCAGUAGUCC